Molecule: transfer RNA, 80 nt
Filed under: Termitomyces sp. J132
Lineage: Eukaryota; Fungi; Basidiomycota; Agaricomycetes; Agaricales; Lyophyllaceae
Also listed under: 1 other name
Rfam family: tRNA
About the family: Transfer RNA (tRNA) molecules are approximately 80 nucleotides in length.
Source: Rfam by way of RNAcentral
GGUUCUAUAGUGUAGUGGUUAUCACUCGAGAUUCUGAUUAUGGAUUUCUCGAAACCCAGGUUCGAUCCCUGGUAGGACCU